AUCGCAGUUCUCGGUCCCACCGUGUCCAUGCAAAGGCGAAAUUUCAAAGGAUACGGAGUGUUGAAAUUGUAAAAGACUGAGGACUGUGUGACUUCUGCGUGGUCUGCAAAGUGGAAAUGAUCACGAAAGGAGAGAAACGGGACUGGCGCACGGGCCAUUGGCAAGUACGUGUCCCAGUCGCUUCCUGCCCCCGAC
Fukomys damarensis (Damara mole-rat) is the source of this 195-nucleotide long non-coding RNA. RefSeq lists it as uncharacterized. Lineage: Eukaryota; Metazoa; Chordata; Mammalia; Rodentia; Bathyergidae. The record is from RefSeq and is a predicted model, not a curated record. The transcript is spliced from 3 exons.